Molecule: ribosomal RNA, 332 nt
Filed under: uncultured bacterium
Lineage: Bacteria
Description: partial 16S ribosomal RNA
Rfam family: Bacterial small subunit ribosomal RNA
Source: RNAcentral
CCUACGGGUGGCAGCAGUAGGGAAUAUUGCUCAAUGGGGGAAACCCUGAAGCAGCAACGCCGCGUGGAGGAUUAAGGUUCUACGAUUUGAAAACCCCUUUGUUAGAGAAGCUAAUGACGGUAUCUAACGAAUAAGCACCGGCUAACGCCGUGCCAGCAGCCGCGGUAAUACGGAGGGUGCAAGCGGUACUCGGAAUCACUGGGCGUAAAGGGCGCGUAGGCGGGGUAGCAAGGCAGAUGUGAAAUCCUAUGGCUUAAACAUAGAACUGCAUUUGAAACUGUUAGUCUAGAGUAUGGGAGAGGUAGGUGGAAUUCUUGGUGUAGGGGUGAAAU